Podarcis lilfordi (Lilford's wall lizard) is the source of this 70-nucleotide non-coding RNA. NCBI's taxonomy places the organism in Eukaryota, Metazoa, Chordata, Lepidosauria, Squamata, Lacertidae. The record is from the annotation of a GenBank genome assembly.
GCAUACCUCAGUUGAUUAGAGCGUGGUACUGAUAAUGCCAAGGUUGUGGUUUGAGUCCCGUACAGGUGCG